RNAcentral lists this unclassified non-coding RNA (580 nucleotides) under Hevea brasiliensis (rubber tree). Lineage: Eukaryota; Viridiplantae; Streptophyta; Magnoliopsida; Malpighiales; Euphorbiaceae. The record is from RNAcentral.
UAGGCAUUUGUUUAGGACUUCAACUACUUUUCGAGUCUAGUGAGGAGAAUGGUCCAGUGAAUGGUCUUGGCUUGAUACCUGGUGUGGUGGGGCGUUUUGACUCAUCAAAGGGUUUCAGAGUACCCCAUAUCGGCUGGGACACUUUUCAAAAUGCAAAAUUGGAUGAUAUUGGAAAUCGCCAUGUUUACUUUGUUCACUCUUACCGUGCCAUGCCAUCUCAUGAAAAUAAAGAGUGGAUUUCUUCUACCUGCAAUUAUGGUGAGGACUUCAUAGCAUCAGUUAGAAGGGGGAAUGUAAAUGCAGUUCAGUUCCAUCCAGAGAAGAGUGGAGAUGUUGGUCUUUCAGUACUGAGAAGGUUUUUGCUUCCAAAGUCAUCUCUGACAAAGAAGCCUACAGCUGGAAAGGCAUCAAAACUUGCAAAGAGGGUAAUUGCUUGUCUUGAUGUGAGGACAAAUGAUAAAGGAGAUCUUGUUGUAACCAAAGGAGACCAGUAUGAUGUAAGAGAACACAAAAAAGAAAAUGAGGUUAGAAAUCUUGGUAAGCCAGUGGAGCUUGCUGGACAAUAUUACAAAGAUGGGGC